Molecule: RNA transcript, 2856 nt
Organism: Oncorhynchus kisutch (coho salmon)
Lineage: Eukaryota; Metazoa; Chordata; Actinopteri; Salmoniformes; Salmonidae
Gene name: chorion transcription factor Cf2-like
Exons: 2
Source: RefSeq, a predicted model, not a curated record
AUGUGGAUCUACCGAUAGCUUGCUUCGUCCCCUAAUGAGCGAUAAACAUUGAGGGGGUUCGAUUAAUCCCGCCCGGACGCCUGUGUUUGCGUGUUUUGCAUCGGCUGAAAGUUGAUUUCAUUCGUUUUGGAGAUGGGCUGCCUUCCGGUGUUGUGCCGAAAGCUCCCUCUGCCAGAAUCCUAGCGAGCAAGUCGCAGCAAUGAAGAAUUGAGUGCGUGCCCGUUCACUGCAAGGGGGGGGGGGGGCUUUUCGGGACAACACUGUGCGUGAGCCAGAUGCCCAGUUCUAAGGACACAGCGUAAAGUUGUGGGCUCAACAAAAAAAGGGACAUAAUUAAGCACGUGUAGUAAUUACUAGGAUUCUGUGAAAACACCAAAUUCUACUCCGUGUAUGUUGAUUAGCCAGCCAAAUAGAAAAAGGAACCAGCCAUGCCUUCCUGUUUAAACAUUUUUGCUGAAUGGGCUUUAUUUUGGUGGCCUCUGGCAUAGCCGGGCGAAGUAGGAGUGCUGCAGCCCCCUUACAUUUGCGACUCGAGUUUCCAUCUUCUCUGAGAAAGACGUUACAUUUCAAUCUAAAUGGCUGAACAUUUAGUAAUUCAGUGUAUUGUUUAGUUGUUUUGGAUAUGGUCUAGGCCUAUAUGAUCCAGACAAUCUUCAAAGGGGAGAACAUGACACCUAUUAAACAUUAAACAGCUUCUCUUGAGAUUCAACUUAUUUACAUUUUACUGCAAGAUAUUAAAUGCCACAAUGAUUUGUUCUCCAAAUUGUUUAUUUUAUUAAAACAAACAUUUUCUUGAAGUAGUGGUGAGCUAUUAACCAAAACAGGUUUUCCCCUGUUAUUAAACUACUAAUUGACUGACAUCGGUUCAAUUAUUUGAUUUCCAUUUAGUUCCGUUUUUUGUGCGAGCUCAACGUGCCAUUUCUCUAGAGAGAAAUCAAAUCAUUCAGGAGAGAAAUUAAGUCACGACCUAUGUGGGACGCUUAGCUGAUUGGAAUGUCGUUUUCAUGACGCAAAUGUUCAACCUUGUCGAAGAUGAUCUAUUAUAUUGACAAGACAGUCGGGUGAAUGCUCUAACAAUGGAAAUACAUGGCCUCAAAGAUGGAAGGCAGGCGGGAGGAGGCGAGAUCAGGUGGGCUCGUUCUUAGCCAAUGAGACGGCAGAUAGUCUGCAGUUGCUGUACACCUAUAUCAUUGCAUUUGUAACAACAGAACCAUGACGAAACUUAUUUUAGAUCAAAUAAAAGUCACGUAUCAAAAUAGCAAUUCAAUUUGUUGACCAAAUUCGACACUCUCAUUGACCUCAAAACAAAAAUUCCUCAUUCCGUGUUCUUAUUUUUGUGGACAACUUUUGGGUGGAGUAAACCCUCUCAAUUUGCCUCUUCAUCUCUGACCUUGUUCAGUGCAGAAACGUGGUAAUUAACUACAAUGACCAUAAUCCAUUGUGCCUAUUCUUUCCGGGCAGAGACAGAGGCGGAUACACACACAGAUCAUAUGAAACCACAUGAGAGAGAAAUGUAGUCUACACAACGACGAGAGGGAUUGAGACUCCCUGCAGCUCUCUCUCGCUGACUCUGAAGAGGAGGUUCCCCCUGAGCAGCAGCACUGUGAGCAGGAGUGGAGCCCCAGUCUGGAGCAGAAGGACCCAGAGCCCACACAGAUUAAAGAGGAACAGGAGGAAGUCAGGACCAGUCAGGAGGAAGAGCAGCUUCAAGGGGUGGAGCCUGAUAUCAUAGAGUUCAAUUUCACUCCUUCCUGUGUGAAAGGUGAAUGUGAUCAGGAAGAUCCACUUCAGUCCUUGACUCUUCCCCAAACCCAGACUGUGGAGAACAGAGAGAGUGACUCUAAACCAGUAGAUCCUGAACCUUUUGGCACUGUGACCCACCUUAAGGGUUUCAACAUUCCUUGUGGCCCUCCAGAUAAUCAGAAGAAUGCCUACAGCCACAGUUCAGCCAUAUGCAGCAACCCAGUAGGACUUGACAGCAGCCCACCAUUGGAUCCCAACCCACAAUUGGAUCUGAUCCCACCAAUGGGGGAACUCUGCACCUGCCCCUUUUGUGGCAAGACCUUCAAACAAAAAGGAAAUCUGUCCAUGCACAUGAGGAUUCACACAGGAGAGAAACCUUUUAGCUGUGGUGACUGUGGGAAGAGCUUUAUUCAGAAGGGGGACCUAAGGAGGCAUAUCCUGACUCACACAGGGGAGAAACCAUUCAGCUGUAAUUUUUGCUGUAAAAGCUUCAAUCAGAAAGGGGACCUAAGGAGGCACAUCCUGACUCACACAGGAGAGAAACCAUUUAGCUGUGAUUACUGUGGCAAAGGAUUCAUUCGCAAGGAGCACCUAACUGCACAUAUACGGACUCACACGGGGGAAGUUUCGGUCUCAGGCAGAACCUAACCAUGCAGGAACUGAUAUAGAUCUAUGAUCGAUUUUAAUGUUGAAAACAUUCUGUAAAUAAAGUUUGAUUUGAUUUGAAUGAUUGAGGUAAUUAUCAAACAGCACAGAGGAUUGUAGGAAAUUCACAGGUCUGCUGUUCAAAGUCUGUAGUUCUCUUCAUUAGAAACAGGAAUAUCUGAUGGUUUGAUUAGGAAUGUCUCUCGUGGUGAUAAAGGAAGGGGGCGGGCUGAUGUUGUUGAUGCCACGAAAUACAAUUCCAAAAAAUAUCUCCUUCCAUUUUCUCAAGAGUUUCUCAUCAAUUCAGUUGCUGCUCAUUCACGAUCUGAAAUUGCGAUUCGAUAUUGCGAUGUUAUUGCUGCUAUUUGAUAUUUUCGUAAACAUAUCGCUCCCUAUAUGUCUCCUGCAGAGAGACGAGAGAGCAUCAGAAAAUGUGUUUUGAUCAUGGAAAUAAAAGUGAUGAAAACA